RNAcentral lists this ribosomal RNA (541 nucleotides) under uncultured Geobacter sp. Its description in RNAcentral is "bacterial SSU rRNA". It matches the Rfam family "Bacterial small subunit ribosomal RNA", at positions 8 to 526 of the family's 1533-position model. The record is from RNAcentral. Lineage: Bacteria; Pseudomonadati; Thermodesulfobacteriota; Desulfuromonadia; Geobacterales; Geobacteraceae.
AGAGUUUGAUCCUGGCUCAGAACGAACGCUGGCGGCGUGCCUAACACAUGCAAGUCGAACGUGAUCCAGAGCUUGCUCUGGUGAAAGUGGCGCACGGGUGAGUAACGCGUGGAUAACCUACCCUGGUAUCCGGGAUAACAUUCCGAAAGGGGUGCUAAUACCGGAUAAGCCCACGGGCUCUUUGGAGCUUGCGGGAAAAGGUGGCCUCUAUUUAUAAGCUACUGUAUCAGGAUGGGUCCGCGUACCAUUAGCUAGUUGGCGGUGUAACGGACCACCAAGGCGACGAUGGUUAGCUGGUCUGAGAGGAUGAUCAGCCACACUGGAACUGAGACACGGUCCAGACUCCUACGGGAGGCAGCAGUGGGGAAUUUUGCGCAAUGGGGGAAACCCUGACGCAGCAACGCCGCGUGAGUGAUGAAGGCCUUUGGGUCGUAAAGCUCUGUCAGAGGGGAAGAAAUGAUAUAGUGCUAAUACCACUUUAUCUUGACGGUACCCUCAAAGGAAGCACCGGCUAACUCCGUGCCAGCAGUCGCGGUAAUAC